Molecule: transfer RNA, 91 nt
Filed under: Candidatus Omnitrophota bacterium
Lineage: Bacteria; Pseudomonadati; Candidatus Omnitrophota
Description: Candidatus Omnitrophica bacterium (groundwater metagenome) tRNA-Leu
Rfam family: tRNA
About the family: Transfer RNA (tRNA) molecules are approximately 80 nucleotides in length. Their secondary structure includes four short double-helical elements and three loops (D, anti-codon, and T loops).
Source: RNAcentral
GCCCGGGUGGCGAAAUUGGCAGACGCACAGGACUUAAAAUCCUGAGGGACCUUAAAAGCCCAUGCCGGUUCAAGUCCGGCCCCGGGCACCA